Long non-coding RNA from Chelonia mydas (Green sea turtle), 2229 nucleotides. RefSeq lists it as uncharacterized. Lineage: Eukaryota; Metazoa; Chordata; Testudines; Cheloniidae. The record is from RefSeq and is a predicted model, not a curated record. The transcript has 3 exons.
UCUAGAGAGGCCAUUUUGCAACUGGUGACUGCUUGCUGCAUUCUCUGUCUUCCAACUGGGGAAAGUUUGUGUAAUCCAGCCCUUAAUAGGGAGAUGGCUUCAUAGAUCACUGCUCAUUACAUCCUGGCAUGGCAACCACAGUGAUUGCUGACAUGGAGAACUCAGGAAAGUACUUAAUGAAAUGUAGCAGCUGGAAACAAAGAAAGAGAACUAACACCAGGGCUGGAAUUUUUGAAGCUGCCUAACACUACCCAAUUCUCUGAGUGUCAAAAUCCCCUAAAUGGCUUUGAAAGUCUCACCCAUGUGACCAGACAUCUCUACAGACUACUGACAAGUAUUCCAUGGACCAUAGUUUGAGAUAUCCUCUUCUAAGGAAGUCUCUGUAGCAUGGUUUGACAUUUAUAAAUAGUCCUGACAUCUAAACCAGACAGCAAGGUGGUUGGAGAGCUCUUCCAUUACGUUCUAAAUGUGGCAUCUUAGGGAUGUCCUGCUCUUUCCAUCACCACAUAGUUUGCCAAACGUGGAAUUUGCUUUUGUAAUUUAGCAUUGUGGAAAAGUAUAAUCUGGUAGGAUAUUCUCAAACUAUCCAAAGCGUAGCAUCCCUUGGGAAUGUUAGUAUGUGGCGUUUUGGAAAACUGUCUGCCACAGAGUUUAUUCCCCCCCCCCCCCAAAAAAAAAAAAAAGUAAACAGUUUUAUAGGCCAAAGUGUAGAGGUUGCUCGAAUGUACUGCAGUCAGUUUCCCUCUCCAUAAACAUCAGAUUUGCAUCCCAAAUUCCAAGAAAGAAAUGGCAAAGGGCUGCUCUCCUGGCUUACUUACCUAGCUAGAGUUAAAUUUUGCUAGCAGAAAAAAAAAAUCUUCCUGGAAAAUGGACACAGUGCAGUGAGUUACCUCAUAAGAAAGGAGUUAAGUUGUGAUAGUGUUGCUGGUCCCAGAACCACAUUCUUCUUGUUACUCUCUGCCAUCCAUUGACCCAGGAAACCAGAGAUAACUAGCAUUAAUGAUGCUGCAUGUCUUUUAGUCCCUUUUGUGACUCUGAGGAUACACCUGGCCUGUUCCGUGAAGGCCAAACUCAUGGGCCAUAUGACAUGUACAGUAUAUGCAGAAAGAUUUGCAACUCAUGAGUUUCCAUGGACUCUGUUCAUUUGUCUUUAGGUAUUUUUAGGUCUCUGUGUAAGUAUUUUACAUGUUCCAUAUAUAGCACAUUUAGGGCCUGAUCCAGCACCCAAGGAAGUCCAUGUGAGUUUUUUCCAUUCUUUGGUGGCAGUUGAAUCAGGCCCCCAGAGCUGUGAGAAACACCUAAGGGAAGCUUAAGGAAUAAAUUACUUAAUGGGUCAAGAUGAAAAUACAGGAUCUCUUUGGUAUUCCAUAAUCCUCCAUGUACUCAGUGAUACUGUAUGUCAGAUAUUGGAGACUAGAGUCUGUUAUCCCCUAAAUCCCAUUACCCACAUCUAUGCCAAACACUGGGGACCAUCAUCUCUUUACAUCAUUUCUGUAAGCACUGUGACUAAGAGAUGUUAGUUCUGGGAAUCAGAAAAUGUUAAAUGGUGAGGUCAUUUGCUGCUGCCUCUCCCUUCGGGGCAUGAUGCUUCCAGACAUGACAACAUUCAAGACAGAAAGGAACACCAGUUCACAGAUAGGUUAAGUAUCCAGCAUGAAGGCCUGCAGAUACUCUUAUGCAUGCAACAUUCACCAAACCCUUGAGGCUCAACUCUGGUUGCUGUUUCUUUCAAAUAGGCUGUUCCUACCUCAAUGCUACCUUGAAAGGGAGUUCUAAUUAGAACUACAAGUUCCUCGCCGUACUGUCUCCAUGAGUGUGUUACCUCCCUGGGAAUCUGAACAUUUGCUGAUGUCAGAGUUUUGCAACCAUUCACAACAGUGCACAGCUAGGACCUUACAAAACAAAAAUCCCUGUAUCUAUUAUGUUAGAAGAAGGAGAAGAGGUUAUAAGUAGGGUGAGUUGAGAAACAGUCAGUUCUUUGGAUGGAAAUUUUUUGAAAAAAAAUUCUUCGUAACUUCCAAAUUUCCAUUUUUGAUGGAAAAAUGACCCCCCCCCGAUUUGUUUCCUUUUUUCCCCCUCUUUGCCUCCUUCCCUCCCCCCUUGAUUCUUUUUUCCAUUUUGACAUGAGAAAAGGAAGAAAAAUGGAGAGAAGUGGGGAAGGAAAAUGAAAACCAAUUUUUGUUUGGUAUUUUUCUAUUGAAAAACUGGACAAAUUUGAAAGACCUUUUU